CUUUGCAAAAGGUAAGUUCAAAACAUUAUUAUUGUGAUAUUACAAGAAAGGAAAUAUGAACAAAAUGAUAGUUUGUGAUCAGAUGAUGUUAUUAAAGUUGAUUUAUGUAUUUUACUCGAUAUUGUCUACGACUUUAGCCAUGAGUUGCAAAAUUUACCCUCCAUCAGUAGAACAAAGUUGUUUCUGCUUGUGUAUUGAUCAGUGGGUCAUUGAACAUAAUGGUUUGCCUACGCCGGAGGCCGCACGACUAUGUCGUGAGGAUUUAUAUACAGACUUUCAAUGUCCCGUUAAGGAUUCAUAUGAUGAGACCGUUGAUAAAACAUCCUUUUCAGAACCUGUUUUAGAAUGCGAUUCUUUAAAAUUUCUAGACUACGGUCACUCAUUUUAAUGUAAUUUGCAUCUUUAUUAUUUUCUCAUGAAAAUAAGUAUACAUUAAUUUAAUGUUCUAA
This is a long non-coding RNA of Capsicum annuum, 449 nucleotides long. RefSeq lists it as uncharacterized. The record is from RefSeq and is a predicted model, not a curated record. The transcript is spliced from 2 exons. NCBI's taxonomy places the organism in Eukaryota, Viridiplantae, Streptophyta, Magnoliopsida, Solanales, Solanaceae.